GGUCUGGGGCCUGAACUUCUGGGUCUGAGGGCUGGAGCGGCUGGGGACGUGGACUUCUGGGUUUUUUGAAAUAACGUGGCUCACCAAUGAGGGUGAUCUGGUCACCGCCAGCACCCAGCGCCCCACUGCACAGCACGGAGUAAUUUCCCAGGUCCCAAUCCAGGCUGAAGUUGCCGAUGUGGAGUUUCCGCCCAUCUUGACUGAGCCGUAGGCGACUCCCGCCUCCUGGAGCCAGGGGCCUCCCUUCCCGGGCCCAGGAUGCCCGUGAGGGUGGGGGACAACCAGAGGCCUCCAGUGCCACCUCUGCCUCCCCCAACCGUGUCUCUGCCACCAGCGGAUGCAGCAGCACCUCUCGGGGGGCCUCUGCCGGUGGGAGAAGUCCAGUUAAGAAAGUCAAGACCUUACCUUGGAUUCAAAGAACAGAUCCUAUGCCCUACUUUAAAUCAGAUGGUGUUUGAAGACAGUGAAGUCCUGCCUCUUUCUUGGACUAAGGACGUACCCCAUACCCCUUCAGAAUUUUCGAAGGACCAAAGAAAAAGUCUCCCUCCUCCUCGAGAAACAGCAAAAAAGCCCCGCGCCCUCUCACCCGGCGUGACUGUGCAGCUCCACCCACUUCUGCCAGGUUACUUCGCCCCCUCCUGGAUUGCACUCCGAGAAGCCUCCCCUUUUCCCAGGGACCCCACAGCACCGUGACCUGCCCAAAGCCUGGCAGAGCAGAGCAGCCCCUGCCGCCUGCACGCCGGACGCCAGGACCCACUUACCAUACACACCCACCGUGAACUCGUGAGUCUGCUGGGAGACCCCUGCCCGGAUGACCUCAGCCGUGUAGACCCCUGCAUCGUCCAGCUGGGCAGAGGCGAGCUCCAGAACCCCCCGGGCCUGGUCAAAUCGCAGGUGGUCUCGGUGAGCAGGGUCCAGGCUGAUCAGAGGUGCCCCUGGCCCCAGGCCCCCAGCUGCCAGCACCUUUGAGCCCCGGCGCCAGACCACCAGAGAGGUGGGGGGCCCAGGGUUGGGGAUUGGGACUAGGGGGAGCCGGAUGGUGGUCCCCACCAGCACAGCGAGUGGGCCCCCCACCUGCUGGGGAAAGCUUGCAGCUGAGUGGGUCUCUGCAGAAAAUUUGGAUUCAGGGCUCUGGGCAGAGAGUUUAAGAUCCAUAUCAUCCGGGGAGAAUUUUGAAUCU
Molecule: long non-coding RNA, 1180 nt
Filed under: Pan troglodytes (chimpanzee)
Lineage: Eukaryota; Metazoa; Chordata; Mammalia; Primates; Hominidae
Description: long non-coding RNA NONPTRT008194
Source: RNAcentral